UACAGAGGGUGCGAGCGUUGUCCGGAAUCACUGGGCGUAAAGGGCGCGUAGGUGGCGACCCAAGGCAAUGGUGAAAGCUCGAUGCUCAACAUCGAGUCGGCCACUGAUACUGGGUUGCUCGAGCACUGUAGAGGCAGAUGGAAUUCCGGGUGUAGCGGUGGAAUGCGUAGAGAUCCGGAAGAACACCGGUGGCGAAGGCGGUCUGCUGGGCAGUUGCUGACACUGAGGCGCGACAGCGUGGGGAGCAAACAGG
Molecule: ribosomal RNA, 253 nt
Filed under: uncultured bacterium
Lineage: Bacteria
Description: partial 16S ribosomal RNA
Rfam family: Bacterial small subunit ribosomal RNA
Source: RNAcentral